UCCCUGAUAGCUCCAUUGGUAAAGAAUCUGUCUGCAACUCAGGAGACCCUGGUUCAAUUCCUGGUUGGGAAG
Molecule: transfer RNA, 72 nt
Filed under: Bos taurus (domestic cattle)
Lineage: Eukaryota; Metazoa; Chordata; Mammalia; Artiodactyla; Bovidae
Also listed under: 2 other names
Rfam family: tRNA
About the family: Transfer RNA (tRNA) molecules are approximately 80 nucleotides in length. Their secondary structure includes four short double-helical elements and three loops (D, anti-codon, and T loops).
Source: Rfam by way of RNAcentral